GCGCGGGCCCAGCCCGGUGCGCGGCGCUGUUGCACCGGAGUUGGGCGGGACGAGCGCGGCCGCCGGGAAAUGUCGCCGUGCUCUCCUCAGGGAGUGCCUGUCCCGUGGGCUCCUGCUGCAGCUGGGAACCUCCUGCUCCUCCCUCAUUCCACAGGAACUCCCUGGCUGAAGGAAAAACCCUUUGAAGUGGCAGUGAUGCUGUUAUGCACCGGUAGAAGAUGGUGUGGUUCCAUUAUCUCCGUAAUGGACGUUGGUUUGGGGAGAGCUUCCCCUCUGUCCUUUCAUCAGGAAUUGGUUUCUUCAGCGCUCAAUGAGUCAGCUCUGAUUCCUUCAAAGAGUGUCUGUCAGGGAGUCUGAGUGCUCUGGGGUAAUCAUUGUUAGGCAAUGUUUUCUUCUUGAGUUUCAGACAGCUGUAAUUCCAAACAUCUCACCAGUUGGGUUUUAAUAGACAUGAUUACCACAGUAAAUAUGUUCGGCUGUUAAGUUUGAAGAAUAUAUUUAUAUUAGCUUUUCGGCAGAUCUUGCAUGUCGUUGCAGAAAGUGUCUCUAUGAUAUGUUGAUACCAUUUUUACAUAAUGAUGCCAUUUUACAUAAUAAUUUGCCAUUUUUACAUAAAUAUUUUAGAGUGCUGCAUGAACCCACUCACUUUUAUUUGUGUUAAAUCUCUUCAUUCAUAUUUGGUAAGACUUAUAUAGAUGUGUUUUCAUUUUAUCAGUAGAAAUCAGAUAAUUUGCUAAUUUCUCAGAAAUUGUGAGGUAUGUUGAUCACUCUUCAUAAUAAUAUAAAUUAUUUUGGUUUAAAAUAUUUUUAAAAACAUUUCAUUUGGAAGUAUCACUCAGGUUUUGACUAUUAGAUUUAACAUGCAUUUGGUUUGCUCAUCAAAGUGGAGAACAUUUAAUAUUUAUUCAUAACAAAAGUAUUAGAGAAGCUGUCAAUAAAUUUUCUGUCAUAAUUGAAUCA
This 960-nucleotide long non-coding RNA is filed under the name Zonotrichia albicollis (white-throated sparrow). RNAcentral's name for it is "lncRNA (ENSZALG00000015778.1)". Lineage: Eukaryota; Metazoa; Chordata; Aves; Passeriformes; Passerellidae. The record is from RNAcentral.